UUGUCUCUGCUUUUGCUUUCCGUUGCUGUGUGAGCACAUUCCGGCUCUGUAGCUCUAAUUCAUUCUAUUAUCCCUAUCGAAUUCGAUGCAUUUAUGUUUAAACCGGUUGUUCAAACAAUUAUUCAGAGUUUCUAGAGCUCCUUGUAAGGCUGAGUGGAAAACCGGUUGCCUUACUUGAUUCCAAUUUGAAGUUGAGUUGUAAUUCAUUGGCGAUUGGUUGAGUUGUAACUAUUAGCUUGCUUGUGUAGUCGGUUGUUGAUAAUUUUACAAGUUGUCCCUUGAAGUUGACAUCAGAUAUGACAGCAACAAUAUUAGUUCUAUGAGUUAGAGAAUUGUUUCUGGCUGCGUCCAAUUGAAUUUAAGCAGUUGUCGGUGGAGAGUUGUGGAAGUUCUGUAUGUCACAGAGAGCGUAAGAUGCUCGACGAAAUGCCUGAUCAAGACUUUUCUAUCUCUACGCUGUUCAUGUAAAGGUUUUACUGUUCGUGCUUGAUGUGGUACUCUGAGGAAUUUGAAGCUCCAAUUGGGUUGUUGCUGUAAGGCUUGGUGACCUGCUGUAACUUUCUUGAUCCUUCAGUCAUGGGCCAAGCUUCAAGAGAUAAGAGGGUCUUGACUACAAUUCUAUUCGGCUAUUUGUCCUUUUGGUUCGUUACCUUUUUCCACGUUUUAUUAUUUACUUUGUCUCGUUUGCAGAAUAUAUACUAUAGUAAAGCAAAAGAAGAAGGCUGGCGUGCUCGAAGUGCGUUCAAACUUCUGAAAAUAGAUGAAGAAUUAACAUAUUUGAAGGUUUGUUCUUGUGUUGGGCUCCUCUCUCUUAAAAUAUUUUUACCUUUCUGCUAGGAUGUCAAUCACUGAGAUGGUCCAGAUGAAUGGUAAUUGGUACUAAAUAUUCCUUUCCAAGAAUACUAAUUUCCUUUGUUUUUUAGGAGUUCUAUGUCCUGGAGAUGUCAUUAUUCCCUCGUGAACAAUGCCGCAAUAUUUUGGAUUAACCUUCCAUAACAGAAUAGUAGCUGGAGCCCCUGGUAGCUGGAGCUAGCUGAAGUUGCUUUUCCCGUAGUGACUUUUGCAAGACCGAAAGGCAGUCGCAAUUCCAGUAUAGCCCAUACGUGGACUGGGUGUGAAUGUUGAGGCAUUUGUAGUUUGUGAGAAUUAUUCGCCUCCUGAGGGUUUCAACCCAUAAGAUCCAACCCCUGCUAGAAAAGGUGGGAAGCCCAUCAGGAGGAGAUGACUUAGAUUGCAGUAGUGGGUGGCUGGGAGGACCCAAUAAAGUAUCCCCUCAGCGGAUAUGAUUCCGAUCGUUCAUACCCACUGCCCAGAGGUGCCGAGGGAACUUUGAUCCUGUGCAACCUCCUAGUGCCCCUCCUUACAACAGGGCUCUUGAAAUGAAGAAGACCUUCCAGUGAAGGAAUUCGAGAACUGAACCUUCCUUGGAUUCCGGAUUGUGCUAUUCAAUGUUAGAUAACCUGCAAAGUUGAUUUGGGAUGGACCGGUGGCCCCCCUGAUUGUGAAUCAACCAACCAUCCUUGCUAAUGGGAAUCUGAGCUAUUCAAAGGCGUGGCCCUCAAAAUUCACAGAUAUCUGCUCGAGCUCAAGGCAUUUAGACAAGAAAAGUUUCGAGCUUCGAAGACUGAAACUCGAUUAUCAUCUGCUACAGCAUCAUCUUACAGAGACGGGCACGCAAAAGAAUGUCUAAAAUAUCGACUAUAUUUUACAUGCGUUCCGGUCCCACGAUUACAGAAC
Cucurbita maxima (winter squash) is the source of this 1737-nucleotide long non-coding RNA. RefSeq lists it as uncharacterized. The transcript is spliced from 7 exons. The record is from RefSeq and is a predicted model, not a curated record. Lineage: Eukaryota; Viridiplantae; Streptophyta; Magnoliopsida; Cucurbitales; Cucurbitaceae.